This 806-nucleotide ribosomal RNA is filed under the name uncultured archaeon. RNAcentral's name for it is "bacterial SSU rRNA". It matches the Rfam family "Archaeal small subunit ribosomal RNA", at positions 85 to 876 of the family's 1478-position model. The record is from RNAcentral.
ACGGCUCAGUAACACGUAGUCAACCUGCCCUCGGGUCGAGCAUAAUCUCGGGAAACUGAGGCUAAUUCUCGAUAGGUCAAGAUUCCUGGAAUGGGUUUUGGUCCAAAUGGCGUAACAGCAUCUUGUUAUUUUCGCCCGAGGAUGGGACUGCGGCCGAUCAGGCUGUUGGUGGGGUAAAGGCCCACCAAACCAGUAACCGGUACGGGCUUUGAGAGAAGGAGCCCGGAGAUGGACACUGAGACAAGGGUCCAGGUCCUACGGGGCGCAGCAGGCGCGAAACCUUCGCAAUGCGCGCAAGCGCGACGAGGUUAUUCUGAGUGAUUUCCGCUGAGGAAAUCUUUUCUUAGAUCUAAAAAGUCUGGGGAAUAAGGGGAGGGCAAGUCUGGUGUCAGCCGCCGCGGUAAUACCAGCUCCUCGAGUGGUCAGGGCGUUUAUUGGGCCUAAAGCAUCCGUAGCCUGCUCAGUAGGUCUCCUGUUAAAUCCAACGGCUCAACCAUUGGUCUGCAGGAGAUACCGCUGGGCUAGGAGGCGGGAGAGGCGGACGGUACUCCGAGGGUAGGGGUAAAAUCCUUUGAUCCCCGGAAGACCACCAGUGGCGAAGGCGGUCCGCCAGAACGCGCUCGACGGUGAGGGAUGAAAGCUGGGGGAGCGAACCGGAUUAGAUACCCGGGUAGUCCCAGCUGUAAACGAUGCGAGCUAGGUGACACGACGCCUUCGGGGCAUCGUGGUGCCGCAGGGAAGCCGUUAAGCUCGCCGCCUGGGGAGUACGGACGCAAGUCUGAAACUUAAAGGAAUUGGCGGGGGAG